GUGAACCUCACUGAAGGUCUUUCAGACGAUGCAUCCCUAUCUGAUGCGUGAGCUUCCUGAACGUCGAGGUAGGAAGUGACUUGGUAAAUAAGUCUGCUGAAUUGUCACUUGAAUGCAAUUGGACCACUUGGACCUCGCCGGCUUUCUGAAGUUCAUGCGUGAAGAAGAACUUGGGCAAGAUGUGCUUCAUCCUAUCUCCUUUGAUGUAGCCGUCUUUGAGUUGAGCAAUGCAUGCUGCAUUGUCC
Molecule: long non-coding RNA, 245 nt
Filed under: Brassica napus (rape)
Lineage: Eukaryota; Viridiplantae; Streptophyta; Magnoliopsida; Brassicales; Brassicaceae
Description: long non-coding RNA (BNAP_LNC026782)
Source: RNAcentral